UUAGUUUAUACUUUUAGCAAAAGAGGGCGUGCUUUGAUAAGUAUGGCUCUUUUCAGCUGUAUGCGAACCAUAAGAAGAAACUGUGGUUUUCAGAUUUUGCAAACUGAUAUUAAGACUUUAUCAGAUGAUUUUCAGUCGAAAAACAAAAGUUUUGAAGAAAAUAGAUCUUUUGAUGAAACUGUUCUUAAGCUACAUUUUAAAUUGAAGACCUUGUCCUCAAAACAAGUUCAGGCUAGAAUUACUCAAAAUGAGUUGUCUGCAAAUAUUGCAAGUUACUCUAUGAAAUGGAAGAAGUAUUUUCAAAAUGAAGUUCAUUGAGCUGAAAACAAAUCACUUUGUCUACAAUCUAUGUGAAUACGAGUUCAGCCCACAUACUGAUCUACCACGAAACAAGUCAGUCUUUUAUGCAUGUGUCUGCAUUGACUCGAUCAAUGUUUUUCAAAUUUUUUUUGAUUGUAACCCAACAGGAAUCAUAUUUUGUAUCGUGAUUCAGUAUAUGCUACAAUGUUCUGUUCUGAAUUCCGAAAAAUUCAAUAAACAAAAAGUUUCUCGAAAUGUUAUAAUGUAAGACUUCUUACUGUAGAUACUAAAAUAAAUGUGAAUAAUAAGCUAAUUUGGUAUAGGA
Molecule: long non-coding RNA, 625 nt
Filed under: Androctonus crassicauda
Lineage: Eukaryota; Metazoa; Arthropoda; Arachnida; Scorpiones; Buthidae
Source: RNAcentral